AUUGAACGCUGGCGGCAUGCCUUACACAUGCAAGUCGAACGGCAGCACGGGAGCUUGCUCCUGGUGGCGAGUGGCGAACGGGUGAGUAAUACAUCGGAACGUACCCUGAAGUGGGGGAUAACGUAGCGAAAGUUACGCUAAUACCGCAUAUUCUGUGAGCAGGAAAGAGGGGGAUCGCAAGACCUCUUGCUUUAGGAGCGGCCGAUGUCGGAUUAGCUAGUCGGUGAGGUAAAGGCUCACCAAGGCGACGAUCCGUAGCGGGUCUGAGAGGAUGAUCCGCCACACUGGGACUGAGACACGGCCCAGACUCCUACGGGAGGCAGCAGUGGGGGAAUUUUUGGACAAUGGGCGCAAGCCUGAUCCAGCCAUGCCGCGUGAGUGAAGAAGGCCUGGUU
RNAcentral lists this ribosomal RNA (395 nucleotides) under uncultured bacterium. RNAcentral describes it as "bacterial SSU rRNA". It matches the Rfam family "Bacterial small subunit ribosomal RNA", at positions 30 to 424 of the family's 1533-position model. The record is from RNAcentral.